Long non-coding RNA from Gallus gallus (chicken), 2729 nucleotides. The record is from Ensembl. NCBI's taxonomy places the organism in Eukaryota, Metazoa, Chordata, Aves, Galliformes, Phasianidae.
CGGAAUGCCAUUUUAUUUUCCCUAAAUGAAUGAAUAAAAUCAGUCAGCCAGGAAAAAGAAACAGUACAGCACUUGCACGCUGUCCUUCCUCUCCUGCACUUCUUUGCUUCAAGCACAAACUGCAUGCUGGUGCCCAAACGCACCUAAAGGAGGUGGAUGCAGAAGUACUGCUGCAAAUGCACCAAGAGCCAUGUCCCUCUGCCAGCUGGCCUGCACCAGGCAGGUGCAAGGAGCCGGCGAAGCAUCGAGGUCUUUGCUGCUCUCUCCCCUCCUUUGCCAGCUGGGAAGAGGGAGCAUGGCGUGGAGGGGAGGGAAGGCAGCAGGCCUGGCACUUGGCUGUGUUCCAGCUGAGCAGCCUGCCAGGAACAAGCAACCAGCCCACACCCUGUGGAGGCCCGCUGGCCAUCGCUGCUCCACUGAGCUGCCCACCUGCCCCAGCGGUGCAGGACCAAGAAUGAGAACUGCAUCAAACUCACUUCUAAGUAAACUGAAUUAAAUAGCAGGAGUGGGAGCCUGGAACAGCUUCCUGUGAUCAGAGCACUUAGCCAGCAUCACUGCCGAUAAGGAAGCACGAGCAGCGCUGCUUUUUAUUCUCUCUUUGUGGGUUUGAUCUUAUUAUAGAAAACAAAUUUACCAAGCAUGAAUUACCACUGAAAUUCUUAAUGCUUUGGCAAAGAAGAAAAGUCAGAUAUGGAUGCUGGCAAAUGCACAUGGCUGCUAGCGAGAAUGCCUCUCCUCUGCACACUUUUGUCUCCCAACUUUCAGCUAGGAGCUGCUGUGCGAAUUAUUUCAAAAGAUGGGCUGCAGAAAAAGGAUCAAUUAAUCUGCCGAGAGAAUUUCAGAAUCCAUUCUCAAUGCCGCUGAUAGCCGGAGACCCCCUCCCUGCGCUUGGGGCUGCAACCAUACUACUGUAGUCUGAAGAGAAACCAGAGGGUGACAGGCAUUAGGAGCACUGCUGUGUGUAUCUCACAUAGGGCAACCAAGACAUUACGACUUCAUGAAGACCCUGCAGAGCACACCUGCUUCAGAACCCCCUGAUGAAUACCAUCUGGUUCAAGUGAUUUACUACACUUGCAUUUCAUGAGCUGCGCCGCGACAUCCCAAAUUAAGACAAGGAAAAUAUAGUCUGUGUUUCAGGAAAAUCUUUCUGACAGAUCUAUUAGGCUAUGGAGUAAUCUUUCAGUGGGAGUCUCAUUGUCUGAGACAUUUAUAGCAAGACUGGACAAAGCACUGGUAAAAUAUACUGCAGGGGACAAUUCUGCAUUAACAGAAGGGUAGUCUAGAUAUAUGGCUUUGAAAUUGAGCUGGUCAGAAAAAAAUUUAAGUGAACCAUUUUCUGUCAGAAAAUAUGGUUCUGACAAAACUAAAUAUACUUUGUUGAACCAAUGAUUUUGCUGACCAUUAUUUCAGAGAGAGAAAAAAAAGGGGAAUUUUAAUGUCAAAGUGUCAUACAGAAGUUUUUUUUCUGAAUAAAGAAUUUCAUUACUUUCCCAUCAAACAUUUUUGAAAUUCCAUUCCUGUACUACAGAAGUCAAUUUGAAAACAAAAUAUUCUGAAUAACCCCAAAUUUCUAUUCUUCCCUCCAGAACUGUACUUCCUAGAGUAGUACUGAAAUGAUCAAUUUUGUUGCAGUCAAAAAUUAAAGCAAAUUAGAAAUAUCCUCUGUCUUCACCACUGAGUAUUGCCUUCCAACAUGUUUCUGAAAGUUCUCCAUGGCAAAUAUUGCCUCUUUAUGCUCCAAGUCUUUGAUUCAUUUCACUGCAUUUGUCCUCUCCCUAUGUCAUUUCAGUGCUUAGUGUCUCAGCUCUUUCUGGAUUAAAAGGAGGAGAGGAAUGUGCAUUUUUCUCUGAGAAGCAGAACUGAAAGUCAGUUCAUGACAGCUUAUAUUUUAAUAGCAAAUAUCUUCCUCAUUCCCUGUGGAGUGGUUUCUUUAUUGCCCUCAGGUUGCUUUGCAGUUUGGUUCUGCUUUCACUGAUGUGCUUUAUCCUUCUUGCUAUAAUAUAAUUGGAAAACUUAAUCAUGGUUGAAAUCACUCUAAAGACAGACGUGGAAAAGCAGUCCAACUCUGAGGGAGACAGGAUUUUUUUUAAAGCUUGGCUGGUGACAAAAUUUCCUGGAAACCCUUCUACCCUCUUCAGGAGUAGGAGACAAGGUUUCUUAUAUUAAAAAAAAUAAUCUUUCAAAAGUUUCAAAGCCUGCUGUUUAUUUUUGAUGUCCUGGGAUAUGGCUGAGUUUAAUAGCUUUGAAAACUACUGUCCUCAGAAGCAGAAAGUGACUAUAUUUGAAGGCUGCUUCAACUUUCUAAAGAAGCCUUCUGAAAGUGUCCUCCUACUUCUGUUGGAACUUGCCUUCUGUUUAGUCACCGUUUGAAGCCUAAUAUCUUCUACAAGCUAGAACAUGAAUUUGCAAAAAGAAAACACUUCUGUACUCCCACUUAGAUGUCUCCCACAGUGUUUUUCUUUUCUCAUGAAAAUUCUCUCUUCUGCUACCAAUGGAAAAUUACCUUCGCUGUCUCAAUUGAGCCCUGGAUGCAUCCCACACACAUCUUGCCUCUUUGAAGAUUAUCAGAAAGACAGGAAGGUUUCCUUCCCACUUUCUGGGAUUCAUCUGUGAUCCCACUGGUGACUGGAAGAGUGAAGUGUUCCCAUCUCCAUCUGCAGAACCGAGACUACAGUUGUUAUAGAAUAUUUUUGUCCCAGAUGGAAAGCAAAGUUGAGGUAUUCUCAUUC